CCCCCAUGUUAACUGUCAAACGCACCGGGGGCAUGCUUUAAGUUCAAUACAAAUUAUUUGUGUGGCACUCCGUUUUUUUGCAAACGGCAGCUUUCUUUACAACGUCGGUGACGCCGAGCACAUUUCAAAGGCAACCGUGUGUCGGUCUGUCAGAAAUGUGACUUUGGCACUGAAACGUUUUCUUUACACGUUUGUGAUGUUUCCAAGUCACCGACCUAUACGAACAAUCAAGGAAGAGUUCUACAGAAUUGCAGAUUUUCCGGGUGUCAUCGGGUGCAUCGAUGGAACUCAUAUUCCUAUUAAAGCUCCUUCAGUGAAUGAAGGAGACUAUGUUAAUAGGAAGUCCUUCCACAGCAUCAAUGUGCAGGUUGUAUGUGAUGCCAGAAAUAUCAUCA
Molecule: long non-coding RNA, 395 nt
Organism: Pleuronectes platessa (European plaice)
Lineage: Eukaryota; Metazoa; Chordata; Actinopteri; Pleuronectiformes; Pleuronectidae
Exons: 3
Source: RefSeq, a predicted model, not a curated record